Gadus macrocephalus (Pacific cod) is the source of this 678-nucleotide long non-coding RNA. RefSeq lists it as uncharacterized. The transcript has 2 exons. Lineage: Eukaryota; Metazoa; Chordata; Actinopteri; Gadiformes; Gadidae. The record is from RefSeq and is a predicted model, not a curated record.
GUGGCCUGUAAACAACUGUCUCAAAGAAGAUCAACAGUACCAUUAUCAAUGCAGCGAUUCAGAAAUAACGGGUUGCACUCGCAACCAAGCAACACUACACAAUAACAAACAUAGUCUGGUAUGGUUGUUUUAAAAUUUGUCAUUCAAGUAAAUCCGGGAUAUUGAUUAUCUUAUAUACAGGCGAUAUUACUAGAAUAGUAUAGGUGUUGACUAUUCUACAUAUUACAGCUGGAUAGGGUCGGGCCCCUCAGGUAAUGUAAGCCUGAAUGGCACUUGGCACUUCUGUAGCGCCCACUGCUGUGGUGAUCAGCAGAUGCAGUAGCCCUCGUGCACAGGGAAUACAACGGCAGCCGGUGACAAUUAACACGGUCUCUGCAUUUAUUCCCGCGACGGGCACUUACUGGAUUCUGCCUUUCCACCUCCCAAACAUAUUCUCCAUCCAUCCUGUGAAAGGGUCAUUAAUGCCGGAGUUCUCUGCCAAUUCUAACCUGAGGGAUUGUAAUCAUACCAGCGCCCUGGCCACCAACCCAUCCGGAGCGAUUCAAAUCCUGCUGUUAUUUGAUCUCCUCAUGUGACUGUUAGUCCUUGCUCGGCGGUGGUAGUUUGUAGGCUCCGGGUGUGUCUGCAUCUGGUUCUGGAACUUUUGUUUCUAUUGCAGAAAUACAAACUCAUGUACAG